Molecule: ribosomal RNA, 497 nt
Filed under: uncultured bacterium
Lineage: Bacteria
Description: partial 16S ribosomal RNA
Rfam family: Bacterial small subunit ribosomal RNA
Source: RNAcentral
GAUGAACGCUGGCGGCGUGCCUAAUACAUGCAAGUCGAGCGAACGGACGAGAAGCUUGCUUCUCUGAUGUUAGCGGCGGACGGGUGAGUAACACGUGGAUAACCUACCUAUAAGACUGGGAUAACUUCGGGAAACCGGAGCUAAUACCGGAUAAUAUUUUGAACCGCAUGGUUCAAAAGUGAAAGACGGUCUUGCUGUCACUUAUAGAUGGAUCCGCGCUGCAUUAGCUAGUUGGUAAGGUAACGGCUUACCAAGGCAACGAUGCAUAGCCGACCUGAGAGGGUGAGCGGCCACACUGGAACUGAGACACGGUCCAGACUCCUACGGGAGGCAGCAGUAGGGAAUCUUCCGCAAUGGGCGAAAGCCUGACGGAGCAACGCCGCGUGAGUGAUGAAGGUCUUCGGAUCGUAAAACUCUGUUAUUAGGGAAGAACAUAUGUGUAUGUAACUGUGCACAUCUUGACGGUACCUAAUCAGAAAGCCACGGCUAACUACGUG